GGCUCCACUGUUAAGGUAAACGCAGAACAAAAAGAAGAAAAUAGACCCAAAAUACCUGUCCUCCUCCCUAAAAAGUAUAAUUUUGACCGUUUAGUUGCCAAGCGUGCCAUAAAUCGAAAGUUGAAAGUGGACUUUGGUCUAAAUGGCGUCGUUUUCGCCAAUUUCUUCGGAGGAAUCCAGCCCCGAAGGAGACCGUAAAUGUUGCGGGAAAAGUCAAAAAUGCAGCAAAGAGACAGGCCAUUUGGGCAAAUGUGAUUCGAAACGACAAGUAAAUCGUUUCUAGGAGACAUCGCCUAUUUUUAACAUUCAUAAGGAGCGCCAAACGCUCCAAGACAACUUUCGCUAGCUUCAAGUCCAAGAAGAUGCUUCAUCCAAGAAGGAGCAAGAUAUCUUGGCUUUACAAAGGGAGACAGAUGCUCUAGUAGAGGAAUCAGAAAGAGCGCUGCAAAAAUCAAAAGGAGAGAAAGAGACACUAGACAAAGAAAUAAGUGAAGCAGAGGAGACACUGAGAGAACUAAAGGAGGCAUAUGAGAAAGUGAAAAAACUGUUAAUAAUAAUAAUAAU
Pocillopora damicornis (cauliflower coral) is the source of this 564-nucleotide long non-coding RNA. NCBI's taxonomy places the organism in Eukaryota, Metazoa, Cnidaria, Anthozoa, Scleractinia, Pocilloporidae. The record is from RefSeq and is a predicted model, not a curated record.